Molecule: long non-coding RNA, 383 nt
Organism: Liolophura sinensis
Lineage: Eukaryota; Metazoa; Mollusca; Polyplacophora; Chitonida; Chitonidae
Exons: 3
Source: RefSeq, a predicted model, not a curated record
CAACAAGCCAUUUCGCUCAGCAGUUAAAAUGAACAGAGCACGGAAGAUGGUAUAUAAGAGUGGAGGUUGUCGAGGGGGCCAAGUCCCGAGUCAUUCACAGUGAACGCCACUAGUAUGGUAAAUUAACUGACGUCAGGUAAUAAUGUAUUCCAUCCUUCGGCUCUGUGUUGUCGGUGCCGUAAUCUGUCACGUGACUCUGGCUAACGUGGCUAUUCCCCCUUUACCUCCACAAGCGGAUUGCGAAAAGGACGGGCAGACCAUACCUAUGGGUGUUUCCCUGAUCAUCGGAGUGGAACUGUGCAAAUGUGGCGAUGAUGGCCUCAACUGCAAGCCCUUCUUAUUUGAAUAAAUCCCCCUAACAAUAAAGGUUUUCUUCCACCUGC